CGAGGCGAACCGGGGAAACUGAAACAUCUCAGUACCCCGAGGAAAAGAAAUCAACCGAGAUUCCCCCAGUAGCGGCGAGCGAACGGGGAGCAGCCCAGAGUCAACAUCAAUAUUUACCACAGGAGAAGGGUCUGGAAAGGCCGGCAAUAAAGGGUGAUAGCCCCGUAUCUAAAGCGGUAAGUGUUGUGAACUCGAAGAGUAGGGCGGGACACGUGUUAUCCUGUCUGAAUAUGGGGGGACCAUCCUCCAAGGCUAAAUACUCCUGACUGACCGAUAGUGAACCAGUACCGUGAGGGAAAGGCGAAAAGAACCCCGGCGAGGGGAGUGAAAUAGAACCUAAAACCGUGUACGUACAAGCAGUAGGAGCACCCGAAAGGGUGUGACUGCGUACCUUUUGUAUAAUGGGUCAGCGACUUAUAUUCUGUAGCAAGGUUAACCGCCUAGGGGAGCCGUAGGGAAACCGAGUCUUAACUGGGCGUUAAGUUGCAGGGUAUAGACCCGAAACCCGGUGAUCUAGCCAU
This 521-nucleotide ribosomal RNA is filed under the name Candidatus Arsenophonus arthropodicus. Its description in RNAcentral is "bacterial LSU rRNA". It matches the Rfam family "Bacterial large subunit ribosomal RNA", at positions 175 to 737 of the family's 2925-position model. Lineage: Bacteria; Pseudomonadati; Pseudomonadota; Gammaproteobacteria; Enterobacterales; Morganellaceae. The record is from RNAcentral.